Molecule: ribosomal RNA, 433 nt
Filed under: uncultured bacterium
Lineage: Bacteria
Description: partial 16S ribosomal RNA
Rfam family: Bacterial small subunit ribosomal RNA
Source: RNAcentral
AACGAACGCUGGCGGCAUGCCUAACACAUGCAAGUCGAACGAGACCUUCGGGUCUAGUGGCGCACGGGUGCGUAACGCGUGGGAACCUGCCCUUAGGUUCGGAAUAACUCCCCGAAAGGGGUGCUAAUACCGGAUAAUGUCUUCGGACCAAAGAUUUAUCGCCUUUGGAUGGGCCCGCGUUGGAUUAGCUAGUUGGUAGGGUAAAAGCCUACCAAGGCGACGAUCCAUAGCUGGUCUGAGAGGAUGAUCAGCCACACUGGGACUGAGACACGGCCCAGACUCCUACGGGAAGCAGCAGUGGGGAAUAUUGGACAAUGGGCGAAAGCCUGAUCCAGCAAUGCCGCGUGAGUGAUGAAGGCCUUAGGGUUGUAAAGCUCUUUUACCCGGGAUGAUAAUGACAGUACCGGGAGAAUAAGCUCCGGCUAAUUCCGUG